GGUGGCGCUGGAAUAGGCGGUGAUGCCGCCGUUGACGCUGGCGUCGCCGAUACCGCCGUUGGUGCCCGUGCUCCGAUCCCAGGCGCGGAUG
Molecule: transfer RNA, 91 nt
Filed under: compost metagenome
Description: tRNA-Val
Source: RNAcentral